GUUUGAUCAUGGCUGAGGAUGAACGCUGGCGGCGUGCUUAACACAUGCAAGUCGAACGAUGAUCUCCAGCUUGCUGGGGGGAUUAGUGGCGAACGGGUGAGUAACACGUGAGUAACCUGCCCUUGACUCUGGGAUAAGCCUGGGAAACUGGGUCUAAUACCGGAUAUGACCAUCUGGCGCAUGUCAUGGUGGUGGAAAGCUUUUUUGUGGUUUUGGAUGGACUCGCGGCCUAUCAGCUUGUUGGUGGGGUAAUGGCCUACCAAGGCGACGACGGGUAGCCGGCCUGAGAGGGUGACCGGCCACACUGGGACUGAGACACGGCCCAGACUCCUACGGGAGGCAGCAGUGGGGAAUAUUGCACAAUGGGCGCAAGCCUGAUGCAGCGACGCCGCGUGAGGGAUGACGGCCUUCGGGUUGUAAACCUCUUUCAGUAGGGAAGAAGCGUAAGUGACGGUACCUGCAGAAGAAGCGCCGGCUAACUACGUGCCAGCAGCCGCGGUAAUACGUAGGGCGCAAGCGUUAUCCGGAAUUAUUGGGCGUAAAGAGCUCGUAGGCGGUUUGUCGCGUCUGCUGUGAAAGACCGGGGCUCAACUCCGGUUCUGCAGUGGGUACGGGCAGACUAGAGUGCAGU
RNAcentral lists this ribosomal RNA (631 nucleotides) under bacterium TN32A. RNAcentral describes it as "bacterial SSU rRNA". It matches the Rfam family "Bacterial small subunit ribosomal RNA", at positions 11 to 652 of the family's 1533-position model. The record is from RNAcentral.